This 498-nucleotide ribosomal RNA is filed under the name uncultured bacterium. RNAcentral describes it as "partial 16S ribosomal RNA". It matches the Rfam family "Bacterial small subunit ribosomal RNA", at positions 28 to 508 of the family's 1533-position model. The record is from RNAcentral.
GAUGAACGCUGGCGGCGUGCCUAAUACAUGCAAGUCGAGCGAACGGACGAGAAGCUUGCUUCUCUGAUGUUAGCGGCGGACGGGUGAGUAACACGUGGAUAACCUACCUAUAAGACUGGGAUAACUUCGGGAAACCGUAGCUAAUACCGGAUAAUAUUUUGAACCGCAUGGUUCAAAAGUGAAAGACGGUCUUGCUGUCACUUAUAGAUGGAUCCGCGCUGCAUUAGCUAGUUGGUAAGGUAACGGCUUACCAAGGCAACGAUGCAUAGCCGACCUGAGAGGGGGGGACGCCAAAACGGGAACUGGACCCCGGCCCGACCUCUAAGGGGGGGCGGAGGAAGGAAUUCUUCACAAGGGGGAAAACGCCGGAGGGGCAACCCCGGGGGGAUUGAUGAGGUUUUUGGUAUCUAAAAACUUUUUAAUAGGGAAAAAAAAUUGGGGAAAGAAACGGGGCAAUUCUGACGGAACCCAAAUAAAAAGCCCACGACAAGCUACGGC